CCAAACCAACACACACAUGUUAAGCAUCUAAGCGUCAUUUGUCUCUGCGGCGCAUUGUGAAAACGGCGAUUACGUGAUUUCUUUCGAUCGAUUAUUAAUUGAGGUGUUAUUUAAUAGUGAGCAACUCAACUAUGAAUAUCAAUAACAACCAACAAAUGACUAAACCUUAUACUUCAAAUGAAAAGAUCUAGCAGAAAUUAUAAAUAAAGAUUAAAAUGUAAAACAAGGAGAACAACGUUAUAACAAUCUAAAUCUUCAACAAAAACAAAUAGUUGACAUGAUUUUUGAAGCAGUUCACAAUUCAAACUAUUCCGGUUCUAGGUGCAUUUAUAUGGAUGGACCAGGAGGAUCUGGAAAAACCUAUAUUGCUUCCAAAUGGAAAAACUGUACAUGAAACUUUUGGAUUACCAGUACCUAUGUUUCAAGAUUCAUCUUCGAAUAUUAAAGCACAAUCUCGUAAAGCUUAAAUAAUAAGAGAAACUGAAAUAUUUAUAUAGGAUGACAUUUCAAUGACUCCAAGAUAUGCAUUGGAAAUUGUAAAUAGAACCUUACAAAAUUUUAUGAACAAUGAUUUGCCUUUUGGAGGAAAAAUUAUCAUAGUAGGAGGAGAUUUAAAGCAAUUGUUACCAAGUAAAGUUUGAGGAACACGAAGUGAAAUAUUAAGUUUUGUGUUAAGUAUAGUGAAGUAUGGAAAUAUUUUACUAAAUUUACUUUAACUGCCAACAUGAGAGUUUUAUCAAAUGAAAUAGAAUAUUCUAAAUUUCUAUUAGAUAUUGGAAAUGGAAUAUUAAAUGAUAAAAAUGACUGCAUAACUAUUCCUGAACAUUGUAUACUCCCCCACAUGCUAAUAUAAUUUAUAUGUUUAGUAACUUAAUUAGAAAAAAUAAAUUCCAAGAAAUGAGUAAAUGUGCUAUAUUAUCAGCUAGAAAUAUUGACGUAGACGAUAUUAACAAACAAAUUACUAAUUUAUUGAAUAAAGAUUCUGAACGAAUAUAUACCGCUAUUGAUACCGCUGUUAAUAACAAUGGUGAAUUAGACGAUCUUAUUUUACCAGAACAUUUGCAUAAUUUAAAUCCGCCAAGUUUACCUCCUCAUGAAUUACGAUUACGAAAAAAUUGUAUUAUAAUGCUUAUUAGAAAUAUUAGUAUUAAUGAAGGCUUAUGUAACGGAAGAUGUUUCCAAAUAAUAGAUUUUACGAACCACUUAAUAAAAUUUGAAAUUUUAACAGGUGAUAAAGUUAAUGAAAUUGUCUUCUUAAACCGUAUAACACUGUAUUCUGAAAAUGAUUAUCCAUUCACAUUUAAAAGAAGACAAUUUCCAAUCAAACUAGCUUUUGCAAUGACCAUUAAUAAAGCUCAAGGACAAACAUUUAAAAACACUAUUAUUGAUCUUAGAAGAGACGUGUUCAAUC
Phymastichus coffea is the source of this 1411-nucleotide long non-coding RNA. RefSeq lists it as uncharacterized. The transcript has 4 exons. The record is from RefSeq and is a predicted model, not a curated record. Lineage: Eukaryota; Metazoa; Arthropoda; Insecta; Hymenoptera; Eulophidae.